AUGCCCAUUUCCGUUCGAUUCCGGCACGCUUGGUCGCUCUGCGUGCGGGCUGUGAUGGACAAGCUGCAGAGCCUGUCGGGGCAGCACGCAGACGUGCUCGAGUCGCUCUCGCCCAAUGUCAGGACGCGUGUUGAGUUUCUGAGGGGCAUUCAGAGUCAACAUGAUGAGAUUGAGGCGAAGUUUUUCGAGGAACGGGCUGCCCUUGAAGCCAAGUACCGGAAGCUGUAUGAACCAUUGUAUGCUAAGACGUAUGACAUUGUACAUUGUAAAUGGAGUUGUGGAGCUAAAGGAGUCCCAGAUUUUUGGCUCAUUGCUUUGAAAACAAAUGAAGUGAUGACUGAGGAGAUCCAAGAGCGUGAUAAGCCUGUUUUGAAAUAUCUAAAGGAUAUCAAGUGGUCUAGAAUUGAUGACCCUAAGGGGUUCAAGCUUUUGACCGCCCGCGCCGCCGCCGAAUCCGGCAGCAAGCGCACCUGCGCGGCCGAGUUGCACAACCUCUCCGAUAAGGUGGUGUCUCGCUUCCCUGUCGUUAACCGCUUUUCUGCUAUUCUCGCCCUGUUUUCUCGGCUUCUCAUUGCUUGCUUGCUUGAUUGGGGUGCAGCGGCGGAGGAGCAGGAUCAACGAGAAGAUGAAGGCGUUGCAGAGCCUGAUACCCAAUUCCAACAAGGUCGGCACCACAAAACCAACAAGGCAUCCAUGCUUGACGAGGCCAUUGAGUAUCUGAAGCAACUGCAGCUCCAAGUAUAG
RNAcentral lists this ribosomal RNA (744 nucleotides) under Triticum aestivum (bread wheat). RNAcentral describes it as "partial small subunit ribosomal RNA". The record is from RNAcentral. Lineage: Eukaryota; Viridiplantae; Streptophyta; Magnoliopsida; Poales; Poaceae.